RNAcentral lists this ribosomal RNA (450 nucleotides) under uncultured bacterium. Its description in RNAcentral is "partial 16S ribosomal RNA". It matches the Rfam family "Bacterial small subunit ribosomal RNA", at positions 354 to 796 of the family's 1533-position model. The record is from RNAcentral.
GUGGGGAAUUUUGGACAAUGGGCGCAAGCCUGAUCCAGCAAUGCCGCGUGCAGGAAGAAGGCCUUCGGGUUGUAAACUGCUUUUGUACGGAACGAAACGGUCCUGGCUAAUAUCCGGGGCUAAUGACGGUACCGUAAGAAUAAGCACCGGCUAACUACGUGCCAGCAGCCGCGGUAAUACGUAGGGUGCGAGCGUUAAUCGGAAUUACUGGGCGUAAAGCGUGCGCAGGCGGUGCUGUAAGACAGGCGUAAAAUCCCCGGGCUCAACCUGGGGAUUGCGCUUGUGACUGCAGUGCUGGAGUGCGGCAGAGGGGGAUGGAAUUCCGCGUGUAGCAGUGAAAUGCGUAGAUAUGCGGAGGAACACCGAUGGCGAAGGCAAUCCCCUGGGCGUGCACUGACGCUCAUGCACGAAAGCGUGGGGAGCAAACAGGAUUAGAUACCCUGGUAGUCC